RNAcentral lists this ribosomal RNA (440 nucleotides) under uncultured bacterium. RNAcentral's name for it is "partial 16S ribosomal RNA". It matches the Rfam family "Bacterial small subunit ribosomal RNA", at positions 338 to 795 of the family's 1533-position model. The record is from RNAcentral.
CCUACGGGUGGCAGCAGUAGGGAAUAUUGCUCAAUGGGGGAAACCCUGAAGCAGCAAAGCCGCGUGGAGGAUGAAGGUUUUAUGAUUGUAAACCCCUUUUGUUAGAGAAGUUUAUGACGGUAUCUAACGAAUAAGCACCGGCUAACUCCGUGCCAGCAGCCGCGGCAAUACGGAGGGUGCAAGCGUUACUCGGAAUCACUGGGCGUUAAGGGUGCGUAGGCGGGGUAAUAAGUCAGUUGUGAAAUCCUGUAGCUUAACUACAGAACUGCAGUUGAAACUGUCACUCUGGAGUGUGGGAGAGGUAGGUGGAAUUCUUGGUGUAGGGGUAAAAUCCGUAGAGAUCAAGAGGAAUACUCAUUGCGAAGGCGACCUGCUGGAACAUUACUGACGCUGAGGCACGAAAGCGUGGGGAGCAAACAGGAUUAGAUACCCGUGUAGUC